GAGGGCAUAGCUCAAGUGGCAGAGCAUUUGCCUGGCAAGCAAGAGCCCUUAGUCCAAAUCUGAGAACUAUCA
RNAcentral lists this transfer RNA (72 nucleotides) under Dipodomys ordii (Ord's kangaroo rat). It matches the Rfam family "tRNA". Rfam says of the family: Transfer RNA (tRNA) molecules are approximately 80 nucleotides in length. Their secondary structure includes four short double-helical elements and three loops (D, anti-codon, and T loops). Lineage: Eukaryota; Metazoa; Chordata; Mammalia; Rodentia; Heteromyidae. The record is from Rfam by way of RNAcentral.